UACGUAGGGACCGAGCGUUGUCCGGAUUCAUUGGGCGUAAAGCGCGCGUAGGCGGCCAGUCAAGUCGGAUGCGAAACCUCGAGGCUUAACCUCGAGCCUGCAUUCGAUACUGGGCGGCUAGAGUCUGGUAGGGGGAUCUGGAAUUCCUGGUGUAGCGGUGGAAUGCGCAGAUAUCAGGAGGAACACCGGUGGCGAAGGCGGGAUCCUGGGCCAGUACUGACGCUGAGGAGCGAAAGCCAGGGGAGCAAACGGG
Molecule: ribosomal RNA, 253 nt
Filed under: uncultured bacterium
Lineage: Bacteria
Description: partial 16S ribosomal RNA
Rfam family: Bacterial small subunit ribosomal RNA
Source: RNAcentral